RNAcentral lists this long non-coding RNA (306 nucleotides) under Lactuca sativa (garden lettuce). RNAcentral's name for it is "long non-coding RNA (LSAT_LNC008543)". Lineage: Eukaryota; Viridiplantae; Streptophyta; Magnoliopsida; Asterales; Asteraceae. The record is from RNAcentral.
CCUCAUUCAAAAUGUCUCUUUUACCCCUCAGCUUCUUCAUCUUCUUCAUCACACUAUCUGCCAUUGUUGCUUCUGCUGCAACUGUACAGACACUUAAUACAAAUCAGCAGCAUUCAAAUGAUAAAGGUUACACCUUUCAUAACCCAAAGCUUCCACCUAAAACCCUCACCACUUCCAAGAAGUUUGAAGGUUCGUCGGAGCUUGUCAACCUCCGAUACCAUAUGGGUCCUGUUCUUUCUUCUCCGAUCAGCAUUUACCUCAUAUGGUAUGGAAAGUGGGCCCCUACCCAGAUGUUGUUGAUCAAAG